Long non-coding RNA from Drosophila ananassae, 181 nucleotides. RefSeq lists it as uncharacterized. The transcript is spliced from 2 exons. NCBI's taxonomy places the organism in Eukaryota, Metazoa, Arthropoda, Insecta, Diptera, Drosophilidae. The record is from RefSeq and is a predicted model, not a curated record.
CUUCUACAGUCAAUGCGUCAAAUGCAGUUUUGGUAUCUUCCAUUGAUAACCAACUAUCAAUCGGUCAAAGCAACUUGCUAAGCUUUCCAUGCCACACUCAAGCAGUAGAGCGAACUGUUAAGUUUGUUACUGAAGCGUCGAAGAAGUUUGCCUAAAUUUGAGAACAAGUCCCAGUAUACAA